GGAAUAUUGCGCAAUGGGCGAAAGCCUGACGCAGCAACGCCGCGUGAGUGAUGAAGGCCUUCGGGUCGUAAAGCCCUGUCAGGAGGGACGAAACCUCGCCGGCCGAAUACGUCGGCCACCUGACGGUCCCUCCAAAGGAAGCACCGGCUACCUCCGUGCCAGCAGCCGCGGUAAUACGGAGGGUGCAAGCGUUGUUCGGAAUCACUGGGCGUAAAGCGCGUGUAGGCGGCUUCCUAAGUCUGGUGUGAAAUCCCGGGGCUCACCCCCGGAAGUGCACUGGAUACUGGGAAGCUAGAGUACCGGAGAGGAGGGUGGAAUUCCUGGUGUAGCGGUGAAAUGCGUAGAUAUCAGGAGGAACACCUGUGGCGAAGGCGGCCCUCUGGACGGAUACUGACGCUGAGACGCGAAAGCGUGGGGAGCAAA
RNAcentral lists this ribosomal RNA (423 nucleotides) under uncultured bacterium. RNAcentral describes it as "bacterial SSU rRNA". It matches the Rfam family "Bacterial small subunit ribosomal RNA", at positions 358 to 772 of the family's 1533-position model. The record is from RNAcentral.